This is a long non-coding RNA of Xiphophorus hellerii (green swordtail), 1404 nucleotides long. RefSeq lists it as uncharacterized. The transcript has 2 exons. Lineage: Eukaryota; Metazoa; Chordata; Actinopteri; Cyprinodontiformes; Poeciliidae. The record is from RefSeq and is a predicted model, not a curated record.
GGUCAUUAAACCGUUUCAUUCCAGUGUUUUGUACCUGUGGCACAUCUAAAACCUGCAGGACAGCGACUGGAGGACUGGAGUUUGACACCCCUGCAUUAGGGGGCGCUGUAGCCUCAGUAACGGAUGUUGGGUUCUGAUGGAUCCGUUCCAGUCGAUGGUUCUGCCAGCAGCAGAUGGACUUCAGGAUAUCUGAACUAGAACUCUUUGAUUCUGAUCCGGUCAAGAUAUAAGCACACUCCUCCGGGACCUGAAAUGUACCAAGAGGUCCGAAACAUGACUUCCGGGCUUUUAUUUUGAAACUGUAGUGGUUCCGUUUCGGCGUCAUUGAUGAAGCUGGGGGUGAAAGGGUGGGUUCAUCUGGACUCUGGGCUUAUUUAACUCCAGAUAAGGUCCAAGUGGCCCUGCAGAACCUCUUCUUUGUCUCAUGUCUGUGGUUGGGAACCAGAGCCUGAAGAAAUACCAUGUUUAGGAAAAUGUUUCAGAACCAGGUAGAGCUGCGGCCAUAUUGGAGGAAGCUGACGAUGUUCAUGAAGGUAAAGUGUUGGCUAACUGCUGCAAGUCGGUUCGGUCCAGACUGACACGUGGUCCGCUGCAGACACGGUAACGAGCCUCACACAGAACCCGAACAGAACCGGAACCAAAUAUAGCUAGAACCGAAGUAGAAGCACUCGGAACCAGAACUACUGGUCCAUAAAGUCUGAGUGCUUCCAGAUUAAACGGUGAAAUUCUGGUUCAGAUUCCUGGAGAUCUUUCAACCUUUUCCACUUCCAAUCUGACCCAGUUAACCCAGUUAAACUCCAACUUCAGGUGUUCAUUUAAUGGGUUGAAAUAAUAUUUAUUUUUAUUAAAUCUUGUCGUAACUCAUAUUGACCAAGUAUUGAUGGUGCUGGGGGAAGUACGGACCUCCAGUAGCAGUCAGUUUAAAGAGGCCUCUGACUGAAGACAGUCUCGUGCUAACAUGCUAACAGCUGAACAUCCAGACAGCAGAGAUGCUUUUCCACAGUAAGCUCUGCAGGUGUGAUUCAUAAUUUAAGUGAUUUGGGGCGGUCGUCUCUCAGCUUCUUGGUCCGGAGGUUCUCAGAGAUCCAAGUUGCUGUUUGGGUUUUUCAAGGGUGUAAAUCCCAACUCAUUAUGGGGGAACCAUAAACAGGAAAAUUUCUUAAGACCAAUUUUGGGGGGUCGGCAAAGUUGCAGUGAAAUUUAAGUAAAAUGUAGUUUAGAAAGUUUUUAAACCACAUUCAAGCUGCAGGACCAAAAAUGACAAGUAAUGCACAUCAAACAUGUUUUAUUCUCAGUAAACAGCCUGCAGAGAAAUAAAACUAAAAUUCAAAUGUUGCUUAGAUACAGUUUGUUCAGUCUGAUCUAAUUUCUGCUACGCCUUUACAAACAUUUAAGGCUCUAAAU